GUGCCAGCCGCCGCGGUAAUACCGGCAGCCCAAGUGAUGGCCGAUCUUAUUGGGCCUAAAGCGUCCGUAGCUGGCCGCGCAAGUCCAUCGGAAAAUCCACCCGCCCAACGGGUGGGCGUCCGGUGGAAACUGCGUGGCUUGGGACCGGAAGGCGCGACGGGUACGUCCAGGGUAGGAGUGAAAUCCUGUAAUCCUGGACGGACCGCCGAUGGCGAAAGCACGUCGCGAGAACGGAUCCGACAGUGAGGGACGAAAGCCAGGGUCUCCAACCGGAUUAGAAACCCGAGUAGCC
RNAcentral lists this ribosomal RNA (292 nucleotides) under uncultured bacterium. Its description in RNAcentral is "partial 16S ribosomal RNA". It matches the Rfam family "Archaeal small subunit ribosomal RNA", at positions 455 to 746 of the family's 1478-position model. The record is from RNAcentral.